CCCUUAGAUGUCCUGGGCCGCACGCGCGCUACACUGAUGCAUGCAACGAGUUUAUAACCUUGGCCUGAAAGGUCUGGGUAAUCUUUUGAACGUGCAUCGUGAUAGGGAUAGAUUAUUGCAAUUGUUAAUCUUGAACGAGGAAUUCCUAGUAAACGCGAGUCAUCAGCUCGCAUUGAUUACGUCCCUGCCCUUUGUACACACCGCCCGUCGCACCUACCGAUUGAAUGGUUUAGUGAGAUCCUUGGAUCGGCCCUGUCGCGGCUGGCAACGGCCGCGUCGGCGCGUCGAGAAGACGAUCAAACUUGAUCAUUUAGAGGAAGUAAAAGUCGUAACA
RNAcentral lists this ribosomal RNA (334 nucleotides) under uncultured eukaryote. Its description in RNAcentral is "partial 18S ribosomal RNA". It matches the Rfam family "Eukaryotic small subunit ribosomal RNA", at positions 1470 to 1796 of the family's 1831-position model. The record is from RNAcentral.